UAAUACGAAGGACCCGAACGUUAUCCGGAUUUAUUGGGUUUAAAGGGUGCGUAGGCGGACUUAUAAGUCAGUGGUGAAAUCUCCGGGCUUAACUCGGAAAUUGCCAUUGAAACUAUUUGUCUUGAGUACAUUUGAGGCGGGCAGAAUGUGUCAUGUAGAGGUGAAAUUCUUAGAUAUGACACAGAACACCAAUUGCGAAGGCAGCUCGCUAAACUGUAACUGACGCUGAGGCACGAAAGCGUGGGGAUCAAACAGGAUUAGAUACCCUGGUAGUCCACGCCCUAAACGAUGAUUACUCGAAGUGUGCAAUACACAGCACGCCUCUGAGCGAAAGCAUUAAGUAAUCCACCUGGGAAGUACGGACGCAAGUCU
Molecule: ribosomal RNA, 372 nt
Filed under: uncultured bacterium
Lineage: Bacteria
Description: bacterial SSU rRNA
Rfam family: Bacterial small subunit ribosomal RNA
Source: RNAcentral